RNAcentral lists this transfer RNA (77 nucleotides) under Schistocephalus solidus. It matches the Rfam family "tRNA". Rfam says of the family: Transfer RNA (tRNA) molecules are approximately 80 nucleotides in length. Their secondary structure includes four short double-helical elements and three loops (D, anti-codon, and T loops). Further hydrogen bonds mediate the characteristic L-shaped molecular structure. tRNAs have two regions of fundamental functional importance: the anti-codon, which is responsible for specific mRNA codon recognition, and the 3' end, to which the tRNAs corresponding amino acid is attached (by aminoacyl-tRNA synthetases). tRNAs cope with the degeneracy of the genetic code in two manners: having more than one tRNA (with a specific anti-codon) for a particular amino acid; and 'wobble' base-pairing, i.e. permitting non-standard base-pairing at the 3rd anti-codon position. Lineage: Eukaryota; Metazoa; Platyhelminthes; Cestoda; Diphyllobothriidea; Diphyllobothriidae. The record is from Rfam by way of RNAcentral.
GGCCUCGUAGCUCAGUUAGCUAGAGCGUUGAAUGUACCAAAGUCUUCCCCUCGUGGGUUCAAAUCCCACCAAGGCCA